GAUCUUUCUUGCCUAUCUUAUCUCUCCUGACCGCACAGCCCAAGUCACAGGACUUCACUGCUCUGUCAGCUCGGGACGGGUUGGUCUAAUUCCAAAUGCCAUGGGAAGAGUGUGUACGGGGAGCGAGCUGUAGCUGCCGUGAAUGGAAGUGUUGUCAGCCAUCCGAGAAGCCUGGGAACCCCGAGAAGCCUGGGAACAGGGGAAGCCGAAAGCACCCGUCUCCGCUCAAGCUGUCCUCACUCAGCUGCUCUCCCCACACCUAUUCCCCACCAGUCUCUGGGACAGGGCUGGAUGGGCUCCCAGCGCUGGAAACUGUUCCCCGUGAUGGCUCUUUUAUGGUCUUGGCAAGCACGUACAAUACCAGCAGAGAGCGAAAUCCUGCCUGCAAGGGAAAAUAAAACCCCAAUGUAACUGCA
This is a long non-coding RNA of Alexandromys fortis (reed vole), 416 nucleotides long. RefSeq lists it as uncharacterized. Lineage: Eukaryota; Metazoa; Chordata; Mammalia; Rodentia; Cricetidae. The record is from RefSeq and is a predicted model, not a curated record. The transcript has 2 exons.